Molecule: ribosomal RNA, 237 nt
Filed under: uncultured bacterium
Lineage: Bacteria
Description: partial 16S ribosomal RNA
Rfam family: Bacterial small subunit ribosomal RNA
Source: RNAcentral
CGGAGCGAAUCGCUAAAAGCCGUCCCAGUUCGGAUUGCAGGCUGCAACCCGCCUGCAUGAAGUUGGAAUCGCUAGUAAUCGCGGAUCAGCAUGCCGCGGUGAAUACGUUCCCGGGCCUUGUACACACCGCCCGUCACACCAUGAGAGUCGGGAACACCCGAAGUCCGUAGCCUGACCGCAAGGGGGGCGCGGCCGAAGGUGGGUUCGAUAAUUGGGGUGAAGUCGUAACAAGGUAAC